Molecule: ribosomal RNA, 459 nt
Filed under: uncultured bacterium
Lineage: Bacteria
Description: partial 16S ribosomal RNA
Rfam family: Bacterial small subunit ribosomal RNA
Source: RNAcentral
CCUACGGGAGGCAGCAGUGAGGAAUAUUGGUCAAUGGACGAGAGUCUGAACCAGCCAAGUAGCGUGAAGGAUGACUGCCCUAUGGGUUGUAAACUUCUUUUAUAAAGGAAUAAAACGAGGCACGUGUGCCUUUUUGCAUGUACUUUAUGAAUAAGGAUCGGCUAACUCCGUGCCAGCAGCCGCGGUAAUACGGAGGAUUCGAGCGUUAUCCGGAUUUAUUGGGUUUAAAGGGUGCGCGGGGGGCGUGUCAAGCAGGUGGUAAAAUAGGGGGGCUCAACCCGGUAGAGCCGUUUGUACUGGCAGGCUUGAGUUCAGGUGAGGUAGGCGGAAUUCGUGGUGUAGCGGUGAAAUGCUUAGAUAUCACGAAGAACUCCGAUUGCGAAGGCAGCCUACCAGUCUGCGACUGACGCUCAGGCACGAAAGUGUGGGUAUCGAACAGGAUUAGAUACCCGAGUAGUC